Molecule: ribosomal RNA, 255 nt
Filed under: Thyrinula dunnii
Lineage: Eukaryota; Fungi; Ascomycota; Dothideomycetes; Asterinales; Asterinaceae
Description: partial 18S ribosomal RNA
Source: RNAcentral
GGAAAGCCCUGCCACGACUCUCGGGACCUCACCGCCCCAGUAAUGGAAGCGGGUGCCUGCGGCCAACGGCCGCGGGUACGGUAAAGCACCGAAGUCUAGGGGCGAUCCGCCGCCAAACCCUCCCCACACCGGGAGGGCCCAGCUCACAGGCCAGACGGCGAUGGGCGCUCUCGCGCUUAAGAUAUGGUCGAGUGACUCGCCGAGAGGCGGGUGCAACUCAGGAACGUCCGUAGGUGAACCUGCGGAAGGAUCAUU